Molecule: ribosomal RNA, 108 nt
Organism: Mesocricetus auratus (golden hamster)
Lineage: Eukaryota; Metazoa; Chordata; Mammalia; Rodentia; Cricetidae
Source: Ensembl
AUCUACGGCCAUACCACCCUGAACGAGCCCAAUCUCGUCUGAUCUGGGAAGCUAAGCAGGGUCGGGCCUGGUUAGUACUUGGAUGGGAGAAACCCUGUCUUGGGGAAA